GUUCUUGUGUAUAUGUAUCUGUGUGUAUUCUUUUCUCCUUUUCUUGUUCUAAUUGUUUCUCUUUUUAUUCUCCUUCUUCUGCUGAGUCAUGCUGAGUCAUUCCUGAUUUUCCUCUUUUCAAUCCACAUGGGUAUAUCUAUUAUGUUAGGGUAGGUGACUGGCUAUUUAAUAUGCACAGGCAGGCAGGUGAGUCAGGGGUCGUAGGGACAGGUGUCGUCAUGGAAGAGCUUCCACGUGUAGCUAUGAGAGCUUUGAAGGGCUAGGGAUUUAUGCAAGGGAGUUUGUGUCUCAGGCCUGGUUGGCUCUUCCGGUGCCUUACAUAGCUAAGGGUCCUACGGUCUUACAGUCUUACAUGUCCUGCAGUCUUAAUGCUUUCGGGGUUUGUUUGGGACAGCGCCGGGAUG
This 404-nucleotide long non-coding RNA is filed under the name Daucus carota (carrot). RNAcentral describes it as "long non-coding RNA (DCAR_LNC003729)". The record is from RNAcentral. Lineage: Eukaryota; Viridiplantae; Streptophyta; Magnoliopsida; Apiales; Apiaceae.